GAUUCUUGAGCAGAGUCAUUAGUUACUGCGCCUUACUUGGCCGCCUCCAUAACCUUUAGAGACCAACAGAAACCUUCUAACUCAUUGAUAGGAAUAAUGACUAAGUAAAAUUCACUGACCCCAAUGAUUUCAUGCAUACACUCACCGGGGGUCCGUGAGUUAUCUACGAACACUACCUAACAGAGCAACCAUGGACAUCGACUUUCUCCAUCAACAACGAUAC
RNAcentral lists this long non-coding RNA (223 nucleotides) under Carica papaya (papaya). Its description in RNAcentral is "long non-coding RNA (CPAP_LNC005601)". Lineage: Eukaryota; Viridiplantae; Streptophyta; Magnoliopsida; Brassicales; Caricaceae. The record is from RNAcentral.